CAGGCCUAACACAUGCAAGUCGCGGGGCAGCAGGGCGUCAGCUUGCUGACGUUGCUGGCGACCGGCGCACGGGUGCGUAACGCGUAUCCAACCUACCCAUGAGUCAGGAACAGCCCGGCGAAAGUCGGAUUAAUGCCUGAUGCCGUGUGAAGAUGGCAUCUGAUUCACACGAAAGGCCUCGGCCGCUGAUGGAUGGGGGUGCGUACGAUUAGGUAGUAGGCGGGGCAACGGCCCACCUAGCCUUCGAUCGUUAGGGGUUCUGAGAGGAAGGUCCCCCACACUGGUACUGAGACACGGACCAGACUCCUACGGGAGGCAGCAGUGAGGAAUAUUGGUCAAUGGGCGUGAGCCUGAACCAGCCAAGUAGCGUGCAGGAUGACGGCCCUAUGGGUUGUAAACUGCUUUUAUGCGGGGAUAAAUCGCGGGACGUGUCCUGCGUUGCAGGUACCGCAUGAAUAAGGACCGGCUAAUUCUGUGCCAGCAGCCGCGGUAAUACGGAAGGUCCGGGCGUUAUCCGGAUUUAUUGGGUUUAAAGGGAGCGCAGGCGGGAUAUUAAGCGUGACGUGAAAUGUAGGURCUCAACGUCUGCACUGCGUCGCGAACUGGUGUCCUUGAGUUCACUGAAAGCGUGCGGAAUUCGUGGUGUAGCGGUGAAAUGCUUAGAUAUCACGAAGAACUCCGAUUGCGAAGGCAGCUCGCUGUAGUGUUACUGACGCUGAGGCUCGAAGGUGCGGGUAUCGAACAGGAUUAGAUACCCUGGUAGUCCGCACGGUAAACGAUGGACACCCGCUGUUUGCCUGUUAUGGUAAGCGGCCAAGCGAAAGCGUUAAGUGUCCCACCUGGGGAGUACGCCGGCAACGGUGAAACUCAAAGGAAUUGACGGGGGCCCGCACAAGCGGAGGAACAUGUGGUUUAAUUCGAUGAUACGCGAGGAACCUUACCCGGGCUUGAACUGCAGGAGAACGAUACAGAGAUGUUGAGGCCCUUCGGGGCUCCUGUGGAGGUGCUGCAUGGUUGUCGUCAGCUCGUGCCGUGAGGUGUCGGCUUAAGUGCCAUAACGAGCGCAACCCCUUUCGCUAGUUGCCAUCAGGUGAAGCUGGGCACUCUGGCGACACUGCCACCGCAAGGUGUGAGGAAGGUGGGGAUGACGUCAAAUCAGCACGGCCCUUACGUCCGGGGCUACACACGUGUUACAAUGGGGUUUACAGAGCGCCGGCGGCCGGCAACGUCCGUCCAAUCGUGAAAUUUCCCCUCAGUUCGGAUUGGGGUCUGCAACCCGACCCCAUGAAGCUGGAUUCGCUAGUAAUCGCGCAUCAGCCAUGGCGCGGUGAAUACGUUCCCGG
RNAcentral lists this ribosomal RNA (1343 nucleotides) under uncultured rumen bacterium. Its description in RNAcentral is "bacterial SSU rRNA". It matches the Rfam family "Bacterial small subunit ribosomal RNA", at positions 43 to 1377 of the family's 1533-position model. The record is from RNAcentral.